GACCUGAUGGCGCACCGGUAACGCGUCUGCUUUACCUACGAAGUAAUAUUGGCGUUUAAGCAGAAGAACCUCGUUCGAUUCGGGGUCAGGGCU
Mycena filopes is the source of this 93-nucleotide non-coding RNA. The record is from the annotation of a GenBank genome assembly. Lineage: Eukaryota; Fungi; Basidiomycota; Agaricomycetes; Agaricales; Mycenaceae.